UACGUAGGGUGCAAGCGUUGUCCGGAAUUAUUGGGCGUAAAGAGCUCGUAGGCGGUUUGUCACGUCUGCUGUGAAAAUCCAAGGCUCAACCUUGGACUUGCAGUGGGUACGGGCAGGCUAGAGUGCGGUAGGGGAGAUGGGAAUUCCUGGUGUAGCGGCGGAAUGCGCAGAUAUCAGGAGGAACACCAAUGGCGAAGGCACAUCUCUGGGCCGUAACUGACGCUGAGGAGCGAAAGCGUGGGGAGCGAACAGGAUUAGAUACCCUGGUAGUCCACGCCGUAAACGGUGGGUGCUAGCUGUGGACCACAUUCCACGUGGUCCGUGACGAAGUUAACACAUUAAGCACCCCGCCUGGGGAGUACGGCCGCAAGGCUAAAACUCAAAGGAAUUGACGGGGGCCCGCACAAGCGGCGGAGCAUGCGGAUUAAUUCGAUGCAACGCGAAGAACCUUACCAAGGCUUGACAUAUAGAGGAAAAGUGCAGAAAUGCACUCCCCGCAAGGUCUCUAUACAGGUGGUGCAUGGUUGUCGUCAGCUCGUGUCGUGAGAUGUUGGGUUAAGUCCCGCAACGAGCGCAACCCUCGUCCUAUGUUGCCAGCACGUAAUGGUGGGAACUCAUGGGAUACUGCCGGGGUCAACUCGGAGGAAGGUGGGGAUGACGUCAAAUCAUCAUGCCCCUUAUGUCUUGGGCUUCACGCAUGCUACAAUGGCCGGUACAGAGGGCUGCAAUACCGCAAGGUGGAGCGAAUCCCAAAAAGCCGGUCUCAGUUCGGAUUGAAGUCUGCAACUCGACCUCAUGAAGUCGGAGUCGCUAGUAAUCGUAGAUCAGCAACGCUACGGUGAAUACGUUCCCGGGCCU
RNAcentral lists this ribosomal RNA (858 nucleotides) under uncultured bacterium. RNAcentral describes it as "SSU rRNA". It matches the Rfam family "Bacterial small subunit ribosomal RNA", at positions 524 to 1381 of the family's 1533-position model. The record is from RNAcentral.